Molecule: ribosomal RNA, 495 nt
Filed under: uncultured bacterium
Lineage: Bacteria
Description: partial 16S ribosomal RNA
Rfam family: Bacterial small subunit ribosomal RNA
Source: RNAcentral
AUGAACGCUGGCGGCGUGCCUAAUACCUGCAAGUCGAGCGCACAGAUGAGGAGCUUGCUCCUCUGACGUUAGCGGCGGACGGGUGAGUAACACGUGGAUAACCUACCUAUAAGACUGGGAUAACUUCGGGAAACCGGAGCUAAUACCGGAUAAUAUAUUGAACCGCAUGGUUCAAUAGUGAAAGACGGUUUUGCUGUCACUUAUAGAUGGAUCCGCGCCGCAUUAGCUAGUUGGUAAGGUAACGGCUUACCAAGGCGACGAUGCGUAGCCGACCUGAGAGGGUGAUCGGCCACACUGGAACUGAGACACGGUCCAGACUCCUACGGGAGGCAGCAGUAGGGAAUCUUCCGCAAUGGGCGAAAGCCUGACGGAGCAACGCCGCGUGAGUGAUGAAGGUCUUCGGAUCGUAAAACUCUGUUAUUAGGGAAGAACAAAUGUGUAAGUAACUAUGCACGUCUUGACGGUACCUAAUCAGAAAGCCACGGCUAACUACGU